UACAGAGGGUGCGAGCGUUGUCCGGAAUCACUGGGCGUAAAGGGCGCGUAGGUGGUGGCUUAAGCGUGCGGUGAAAGCUCGGGGCUCAACUCCGAGUCGGCCGUGCGAACUGGGCUCACUGGAGCAUAGUAGAGGCAGGUGGAAUUCCGGGUGUAGCGGUGGAAUGCGUAGAGAUCCGGAAGAACACCGGUGGCGAAGGCGGCCUGCUGGGCUAUGGCUGACACUGAGGCGCGACAGCGUGGGGAGCAAACCGG
This 254-nucleotide ribosomal RNA is filed under the name uncultured bacterium. Its description in RNAcentral is "partial 16S ribosomal RNA". It matches the Rfam family "Bacterial small subunit ribosomal RNA", at positions 524 to 776 of the family's 1533-position model. The record is from RNAcentral.